ACGCAGGUUCCCGCAACUGACACGAACCGUGCGACUUGAAGCUCCGCCUGGUCUUUCCAGGUCUAGAGGGGUAACAUUUUGUACUGUGUUUGACUCCACGCUUGGUCCACUAGCGAGUGUUAGUAACAGCACUGUUGCUUCGUCGCGGAGCAUGAUGGCUGUGGGAACUCCCCCUUGGUAACAAGGACCCACGGGGCCGAAAGCCACGUCCUCACGGACCCAUCAUGUGUGCAACCCCAGCACAGCAACUUUACUGUGAAAGCCACUUUAAGGUGUCACUGAUACUGGUACUCAACCACUGGUGACAGGCUAAGGAUGCCCUUCAGGUACCCCGAGGUAACAUGCGACACUCGGGAUCUGAGAAGGGGGCUGAGGCUUCUUUAAAAGUGCUCAGCUUAAAAAGCUUCUAUGCCUGAAUAGGCGACCGGAGGCCGGCGCCUUUCCACUUACCAAUACUGUUUU
Molecule: non-coding RNA, 462 nt
Filed under: Foot-and-mouth disease virus A
Lineage: Riboviria; Orthornavirae; Pisuviricota; Pisoniviricetes; Picornavirales; Picornaviridae
Description: Foot-and-mouth disease virus - type A Aphthovirus internal ribosome entry site (IRES)
Rfam family: Aphthovirus internal ribosome entry site (IRES)
About the family: IRES elements allow cap and end-independent translation of mRNA in the host cell. The IRES achieves this by mediating the internal initiation of translation by recruiting a ribosomal 43S pre-initiation complex directly to the initiation codon and eliminates the requirement for eIF4F.
Source: Rfam by way of RNAcentral